GAUGAAGAACGUAGCGAAAUGCGAUACUUGGUGUGAAUUGCAGAAUCCCGUGAACCAUCGAGUCUUUGAACGCAAGUUGCGCCCGAAGCCACUAGGCCGAGGGCACGCCUGCCUGGGCGUCACACGCCGUUGCCCCCCCAUCUACUCCUUCGGGAUUGCGGGGGGGCGGAUGAUGGCCUCCCGUGCGCCUAGCCGCGCGGUUGGCAUAAAUACCAAGUCCUCGGCGACGCACGCCACGACAAUCGGUGGUUGCGAAACCUCGGUUGCCCGUCGUGUGCGUUCGUCGCGCAUCGAGGGCUCGAAAAAAUGCUCGGCUCCGGCUGGGCUUUCAACGCGACCCCAGGUCAGGCGGGGUUACCCGCUGAGUUUAAGCAUAUCAAUAAGCGGAGGA
Molecule: unclassified non-coding RNA, 391 nt
Filed under: soil metagenome
Description: partial contains 5.8S ribosomal RNA, internal transcribed spacer 2, and large subunit ribosomal RNA
Rfam family: 5.8S ribosomal RNA (bases 1-122)
Source: RNAcentral